This 221-nucleotide long non-coding RNA is filed under the name Elaeis guineensis (African oil palm). Its description in RNAcentral is "long non-coding RNA (EGUI_LNC073102)". The record is from RNAcentral. Lineage: Eukaryota; Viridiplantae; Streptophyta; Magnoliopsida; Arecales; Arecaceae.
UGUGAAGUUUGACGUCCAUCUUCUUUGAUUUCUUCGUUAUGUGACGAACUUCCCUUCUCAGGUUCUGGAUCAUAGACUUCAAAGGAAUCCCCUACGGUAGGGGAAGAGCUCCAGCAGGGCACUGUCGUCGAGAAACAAGAGCGUCACAAAGCAAGUCAUUGCAAAGAAAAAAAAAGAAGAAAAAGAAAGUAGAAGAAGAAAAAGGAGCUCUCUGUAAAGAG